Mobula hypostoma (lesser devil ray) is the source of this 411-nucleotide long non-coding RNA. RefSeq lists it as uncharacterized. The record is from RefSeq and is a predicted model, not a curated record. The transcript has 3 exons. Lineage: Eukaryota; Metazoa; Chordata; Chondrichthyes; Myliobatiformes; Myliobatidae.
CCUCACCCCACUGGAAGAAAUGCCCUGCGUAAACAAGGGUUGAUAAUGCACGGGAAGGGGCAGUUAUGUCUGGGACGUUUAACAUAGCUGUUGGACUGCCGAGUUAGACUUGCACAAUGACAAUAUUCCAGGGUUGAGUGAAGACCCAAUGAGAUGGCAUCUGAUGUGGACCUGUUGCUCUGCUAGGCAAAUUGGAGUGGAUCCAAAUCAAACCAGCCUCUCAAAACACUUCAUAGCUGUUGAUCUUUGUCAUCACCGAGGACCCAUUAUCAAUCAACAUUACCGGGGGUCAAGAGAAGGAGAGAGAGUGAGAAUGAUGAGAAGCCAAAACAUACCAACCCUCUAAAUCCUGUGCAGAUAAAAGUGGACUGUACUUGGAUAUUCAAAAAUAAAUUUCUCCUUUACUCAGAA